Molecule: ribosomal RNA, 253 nt
Filed under: uncultured bacterium
Lineage: Bacteria
Description: partial 16S ribosomal RNA
Rfam family: Bacterial small subunit ribosomal RNA
Source: RNAcentral
GACGUAGGGCGCGAGCGUUGUCCGGAUUUAUUGGGCGUAAAGAGCUCGUAGGCGGCUUGUCGCGUCGAAUGUGAAAUCUCAGGGCUCAACUCUGACAUUGCAUUCGAUACGGGCAGGCUAGAGUUCGGUAGGGGAGACUGGAAUUCCUGGUGUAGCGGUGAAAUGCGCAGAUAUCAGGAAGAACACCCGUGGCUAAGGCGGCUCUCUAGUACGGUACUGACGCUGAGACGCGAAAGCGUGGGGAGCGAACAGG